Ruditapes philippinarum (Manila clam) is the source of this 277-nucleotide long non-coding RNA. RefSeq lists it as uncharacterized. The record is from RefSeq and is a predicted model, not a curated record. Lineage: Eukaryota; Metazoa; Mollusca; Bivalvia; Venerida; Veneridae. The transcript is spliced from 2 exons.
UUCUAUUUUGGUUCAGUCCAUUGAUUGUGAAAUUUGUAAAUAAGUAUGAGUUUCAGAAUGACAUGUAUCUAUCAAAUCACCUUUCAUCUUUUAUUCACUAUUAAUAUUUAACCUUGCAGUUAACAGUCACUGGUGUGAUAGUCAGAGAGGUAAUAAUUAGAUUGAUGUACUGCACUCAUCCCUCAGAUGAGUGUUGUUGGUUUGUACUUAUCAAAUCUACUUGAUGUAACAACCUUAUUAGAAGAUUGGAUUGGUAUAUAAACAUAUAAGAACUUCA